Molecule: ribosomal RNA, 449 nt
Filed under: uncultured prokaryote
Description: bacterial SSU rRNA
Rfam family: Bacterial small subunit ribosomal RNA
Source: RNAcentral
UGGGGAAUAUUGGACAAUGGGGGCAACCCUGAUCCAGCAAUGCCGCGUGUGUGAAGAAGGCCUGCGGGUUGUAAAGCACUUUCAGUAGAGAAGAAAAGCCUGAGGUUAAUACCCUCGAGUCUUGACGUUACCUACAGAAGAAGCACCGGCUAACUCCGUGCCAGCAGCCGCGGUAAUACGGAGGGUGCGAGCGUUAAUCGGAAUUACUGGGCGUAAAGCGCGCGUAGGCGGCUUGGUCAGUCGGAUGUGAAAGCCCCGGGCUUAACCUGGGAAUUGCAUUCGAUACUGCCGAGCUAGAGUAUGGUAGAGGGAAGUGGAAUUUCCGGUGUAGCGGUGAAAUGCGUAGAUAUCGGAAGGAACACCAGUGGCGAAGGCGACUUCCUGGGCCAAUACUGACGCUGAGGUGCGAAAGCGUGGGGAGCAAACAGGAUUAGAUACCCCCGUAGUCC